Long non-coding RNA from Strigops habroptila (Kakapo), 4166 nucleotides. RefSeq lists it as uncharacterized. The record is from RefSeq and is a predicted model, not a curated record. NCBI's taxonomy places the organism in Eukaryota, Metazoa, Chordata, Aves, Psittaciformes, Psittacidae. The transcript has 2 exons.
GAUGUUCUGCUGGAUGAGCUGCACGUCCACCUUCUGCAGAACAUUGCUGAUGUGCCCUGAGGGGUACAGCACCAAAAGCAGUGCAGCUCCAAGCCAUGAAGAUCCUCCUAUCAUGUAUGACAUGGAAAGCAAUGCAACCCCUUCUCCCGCUCAGCACGUUCCCCUCUCCAUUUACCUGUCAUCCUGGAAGCAGUGCGCGGCUGAGACCACCCAGCGAUCAGCAACAAGUGUUCCCCCGCAGAUGUGGCGCCCCCGAACUUGCAGGCUGGCCUGCCACGGCCAUUCCCCUUCCACGGAAUUCUCACCCCCCACGAUCCUGCUGAGAGGGGCCUGCAGCCCACAGUCUGAGGAAGAGGAGACGCAGCAGGUACUUCAGGGGAGGAAGGGAACAUGAUGCAUUGUGCCUGCCCUUCCUUUCCUACUUAAAUCCUGCUUAUUUGACCUCUAAUCGCUUGCCUUGCCCAGCAAGAAAAUGCUUUAUGUACUGUGCAGGACAGGUCUAGGAAGCACUCUGCCCAGCAUGUGCCACCAUUGAUGCCUGCACAGCCUCAGCCUGGGAUGUCUUUGGGGCAGCAGCCUGCCUGCGCUACCUGCUGUGCUGCUGGGGAACCCUCACAGUCAUUCCUCUUCACCUCCCACCAAAGCUCUGGAUAAAACAAGCAGGGAAAUGAAAACAUAAGCUCCCUUCCUGCCAGUGACCAUGCAGUCAUGGGUGAUUUCCCUGGCUGGAGCCUUGUAGGAUGGCAUUACUUCACAUAAGCCAGCAUCGUGGUCCAGCAGGCAGCCUGUGGGUAGGACCCGGCAUGUGAGACGUGUCUAUCUGGCCUGAUGCCUCUGUCUGAAGGAGAUGGGGAGCAGCCAUCCAAAGAGAAAAAUGCCUGCUCACAGCUCAGCACAGAGCUGACUCCUUGCUCCUUCCACUGCAGGAUGGAGCACUGGCACUGUUGCCACGGGGUUAGGGUAGGGAGAAGGUGGUGGAACAAGAGAGGGUGGGUGCUGAUGGUGGUGGGGAAAAGGGGGCUAUGUGGCAUCCCGAAACUGCCUGGCGCAUGUAUAACCGAGCAUUUCCUCACCACAGCUCUUCUCGUCGGACAGGUCCUUGCAGUCUGCAAUGGUGUCACACAGGGGGUUGGGUUUCUUCACACAGGUCCCAUCCUCACAGCGGUAGGUGAAAGGACCGCAGGGGACCCCUGCAAAGAGGAGGGGGAGCCGAGACUGAGCGAGAGAAGCUGGUUGCAGGCACAGCCUGCAGUCCUUUAAGUGGGAGGAAAAAGGCAAUGGAGAGCUUGGGGGAACUCCAUAAACGAUGACAGGGAAUUUCCUGAGCAAGCUUGGUCAGCUACGAACAGAGCAAACAUCAUGAGCAGGUUGGGCAUGUUAACCCCCAGCUGGUGCCUUUACCUCACAAGAGGGAAGUACACUACCGACAGCCUUGGCUUGAGCAUAGGGGAAGGUAUUUGUCCCCUCCCUACCUUCACUGCACUGCUCCUCAUCGCUCCCGUUGGCACAGUCCAGAUGCUGAUUGCAGACCCUGCUGAAGUUGAUGCAAGUGCUAUCUUCACGGCACUGGAACUUUGCAGGGCACACUGCAAGGGAAGGGAGGGAAGCACCCGGGAAUUAGCCAUGCAAGACAAGACAUCAUGUGUGAGGUCAGGGUCCUACAUCCACCAGUAGGCUCUGCAACCUCUUUCCCCACCUCAUGCAUAGGUGUGAUUAAGACCAGCUCUGGUAUAGUGCAGCUGUGUGGUCUUUGCCUGACAUAUGUUGUAGGUAUGUCUGUACCCUGUCUUACACUUUGCUGGUGCUGACUUUCCUUGAGUUCUUGGCUUGUCCUCAGACCUGCCUCAUCACUAUGGACUUGCCUGGAGGUCACUGGACUCUCGGUUGUUCUCAGGUGACCAUCACCAGACCUGGUCCACCUGCCUUGUUCAGGUUCUGUAUGACUGCAUCCUGUGUGGUGAGCUAACUAUUCCUCCUGCCUUCCUGAACAACAAUGGGCUCCUCAAUGUCCAUGAGCUCCAACAGCUGCUCAGGAUGGAGAUGGGCUUAAGGUGCCCACCCAUCACAGAGUCUGACUUCUGGUUAUAGAUUUUCAUAGCAGGAACUUGCCCGGUGUUUGUAUGCAUCUCUGUUCAACACCAAACAUGAUGGGCCAGUAUCUCCAGGGCAUUUUCUUACUACAAUGACUAAAAUUUCUUCAGUAAUUAGCAUGAGGCUUCCUGAUGAUGAAAGGCGCGUGAAGGUCUGAGGCAAUGUGAAGACUGAUUUUAAAGACAGGGGUGUUUCCAUGCAGACAUAGAGUGAAUAAGCAGAGAUGCAACAGUGGCAAGAGUAUAAGAAAGGAAAGAAGUCAUGAUGUUCCCAUUUUCUUUUUCAAAUAUGAAAGGAUGUUCGAAAACACUGAGAAACAGAUACAUUUUUUGUUCAGUCUUGGUCUGAAUCUGGAACUAAAUGACACAAGAAAUGCCUGGGGCCAAGAUUCAAGAAAGGAUUAGAUAUUCAUAAGGAUGUAUAUGUAUUCGUGUCUGCAUGAGAGAAGCAAGAAAGCCCUGAUGUCAGACAGCUGGAUGAUGGGACAGAGCGCACUGUCAGCAAGACCAUAGACAGUAUAAAACCCAACCUCAGUGAUCCUGUGAGAGCUCUCACAUUUCCAGCACUGAAUGAAAACUUCUGUGAGAAAGAUUUCUCCUUCCUUUCACUUCAGACAUUUCUAUACCUUCCUCUGAAUCUUUCAUAAUUGGCCACUGCUUCCAGUGGUUCAGGGAUCUUUCUAUCUGUAAAAACCCCAGCUACAGGGGACAACUGGUGAACCUCCCACUUACAUCAGGGAUGGGAGAAUAGAUGAAUUAGGUGCCACGCAUGAGCCUGAAUAGCUGUUCCUAUGAGAAUGGGGCUUUGCAGGAGUCCUGGGAUGCCGGGGAUGGAGUCCGCAUCACUGCUAACUGCUGUUGGCAUGAAGAACUGAUGGGUGAUUGAGGAAUUAGAUGCUCUCAACCUGGGGCACAAUAUGUGGGUGGGGAUCUGGACAGAUCAAGUGGCUGGGGAGGAAAGGGGAGAGAGCAGGGCAGUGAGUGGGCUUGGGGAGAUGUGGGCAGGAUGGGAGGGCUGGGAGGGGGAUGCUGAGUGGUAUGACAGCAGAGGGGGCUGUAGGCCAGGACUGAGGUUGAUUGUCGGGGCUGGGAAGAGGGGGGGAGCAGGACAAGAUGGGGGACAGCCUCGGCUUCUUUCAGGCUGCUUGGAGCUCUUGGUGCACGGACACUAGGGAGUUCUCGCAGGCAGACUGUGCUGGACACAGGAGCAAGAAGCGUGGCUGCUCCUUCCUGAGCAGGCUGAAGCCAUAAAGCAGUGGGCUGAGGCUUUUAAGGAUGCAGAGGUUUAAGCUCUUGAAGGGGAGGUACAAGCCUGUAAUUAGGCCAAACGAAUCCUCUCCAUCUCUCCCUGCCUUUGGAGGAGCAAGGGGCUUUUUCCUGCUGAGAGCAGGGACCAUAGGGGAGAAGAAAUCACUCACCACAGUUUCUCUCAUCCAGCCCAUUGGGGCAGUCUUUGAUCCCGUCACAGGCUGGGACACACAAACCGUUCACGGAACACAGGAACUCCCCGGGACAAGCUGUGAAACCACCAGAGAGUAGUUAGUCCCCAGUGACUGGAAACCUCCUUGCAAAAGAGCACCGAGGCUCAAAAGUGGGGCUGCACACCCCCCUGACCUCACGUGUGCUGCAGCUUCCCAGAAUUCACCACAUCAUCUGCUCUGAACAAGGGCUAACAGAGCUAGGCUAUACAGCAGGAGAAGGAGGGCUCUGUCCCUGCUUCCUGGUGUACCAAUGGGCAGAGCCAGGACAACCACCCACCUGGCGUGCUGUACCUCUGAUGCCUGAAUGCUGCGGGAAAGCUGAAACAGGUCCUUUGGAGCUGUUAUUAAAACUUGGUUUGUAUUAGACAUGUUGCAGGUGCACAUAUUCAGGGACUGGUAUGUGUUACAGGCACCCUUCCGGAGGGAGAUGAAGAAACCUUGGAAAGACAGACUGCGGGUGUGCAUUUGCAUAUGUGUGUACGUGUAUUUGUGCGUGGUUUUAUUUUGUCUCUCACUUGCACAGAGUCCAAGGUGAGCAGGAAACAGCUCUCUGUAAGAGCUCUUAUAACUGAAAUAAAAGCUGCUUCAAAAUGGU